RNAcentral lists this ribosomal RNA (468 nucleotides) under uncultured bacterium. RNAcentral describes it as "partial 16S ribosomal RNA". It matches the Rfam family "Bacterial small subunit ribosomal RNA", at positions 28 to 507 of the family's 1533-position model. The record is from RNAcentral.
GACGAACGCUGGCGGCGUGCUUAACACAUGCAAGUCGAACGGAAAGGCCCUGCUUUUGUGGGGUGCUCGAGUGGCGAACGGGUGAGUAACACGUGAGUAACCUGCCCUUGACUUUGGGAUAACUUCAGGAAACUGGGGCUAAUACCGGAUAGGAGCUCCUGCUGCAUGGUGGGGGUUGGAAAGUUUCGGCGGUUGGGGAUGGACUCGCGGCUUAUCAGCUUGUUGGUGGGGUAGUGGCUUACCAAGGCUUUGACGGGUAGCCGGCCUGAGAGGGUGACCGGCCACAUUGGGACUGAGGUACGGCGCAGACUCCUACGGGAGGCAGCAGUGGGGAACAUUGCACAAUGGGCGGAAGCCUGAUGCAGCAACGCCGCGUGCGGGAUGACGGCCUUCGGGUUGUAAACCGCUGUCGCCUGUGACGAAGCGUGAGUGACGGUAAUGGGUAAAGAAGCACCGGCUAACUACGUG